This 256-nucleotide unclassified non-coding RNA is filed under the name plant metagenome. Its description in RNAcentral is "partial contains small subunit ribosomal RNA, internal transcribed spacer 1, and 5.8S ribosomal RNA". The stretch from base 1 to 54 matches the Rfam family "Eukaryotic small subunit ribosomal RNA", at positions 1778 to 1831 of the family's 1831-position model. The record is from RNAcentral.
GGAAGUAAAGGUCGUAACAAGGUUUCCGUAGGUGAACCUGCGGAAGGAUCAUUACUGAGUGAGGGCCCUCUGGGUCCAACCUCCCACCCGUGUUUAUUGUACCUUGUUGCUUCGGUGCGCCCGCCUCACGGCCGCCGGGGGGCUUCUGCCCCCGGGUCCGCGCGCACCGGAGACACCAUUGAACUCUGUCUGAAGAUUGCAGUCUGAGCAUAAACUAAAUAAGUUAAAACUUUCAACAACGGAUCUCUUGGUUCCG